AUGUACUCCGUGCUCUCGAGAAUAUACUCCGCGGCGCGCAGCCGUCUCCAGGUACUAAUAGACUCGCUCCCGGCCGGCCGCGAUGGCAGCAGGGACUCGCAUCGCCGCCGCCGCCGCCGGGACGACCGGAGCAGGAGCAGCGGCACCAGCACCCCCAUCAGCACGCCCGCGUCCAUGUACUCCGCGCUCAGCCCGGUGGACACCCACGCCGUCGCCACCGCCGCGGCGGCCAAGCUCGCGAUGGACGCCCCAGCCGCCGGGUCGGCCGCCAUGCCCAUCUCCCUGUCGCCGCUCCUCCCGCCGCCGCAGAUGGUGGUGGUGGCGCUCGACGCCACCCGCGACCACCGCGAGGUGGAGGUCAGGAUGUCGCUCAGGGCGCUCGUGGCCCGGGGCGACAUACUUCGCGGCGGGGACUCCCUCCUCGUGCUCGGCGUUCUCCACUCCGUCACCAAUCCGAGUGAGGGCCGAGCUCCCCCUUUAGUGGGAUACCAAACCAAAGCAUCUAGUGAUUCUUUUGCCGGGACGAGCUUGCGGUACCUAGGUGAUCAGGUUGCGAAGAAAGCUGAAUACUACAAAGACAAGCUCCUCCAGGAUGUGGAGGAGCUUCGCCAAGUGGGGAUUAGUGUGACCCUCAAAGUAUGCCCUGGAUCACCAGCGAAGGUUGUCAUUAUCCAUGAAAUCAAUUCAAGUAAAGCUGCUUGGGUUGUACUAGAUAGGCACUUCAGACGAGAUUUCAAGCACUUCGAAAAGCACAUAGCCUGUAAAGUUGCAGCAUUUCAAGAUAACCUGUCAGUGCAGACCUUGAAGUCAAUUAGAACAAAUCUAUCAAGCAAAAGUAUGGGGGAGAUGAAGGACCUACAAAACUUAGUAGUGUCACUUGAUCUAAGUUCCAAAACACUAGAUACUGACAAGGUCCGUGUGUCGGUCAGGUCAUCGCCUGUAAGUUACUUUGCCUCUCUAACCAAUCAUGAGAUGUACUACACCCCCAGUGUGGUUGGUAGCAGCAUCCAAGACUUCACACCGUCAAUGAGCGUCGCGUCCAUCCCGGUGAUCGAUGAGACUGAAUUCAAUGCAAAAUCUAUUGAAGAUAACAUGAUCGGCCACUACGAUUCAUCAGAAAGACCAGUUCUAUGUGCUGGUUGUGGGCUAAGAUCAGUUCUUUACAUCAAGGAAUCCAUGAAAUAUCCUUUCUCAGAGAUCCAAUCUGCAACAUCUGACUUCUCAAGUGAGAAUUUGGUGGGCGAGGGCGGAUUUGGGCAUGUGUACAAAGGGAAGCUCAAGGAUGGCCAGGUCAUUGCAGCUAAGUUGCGUAAAGAAGCUAGCUCGCAGGGCUAUACCGAGUUCUUCUCUGAAGUGCAAGUGCUCAGCUUUGCCCGGCAUCGGAACAUUGUCAUGUUGCUUGGGUAUUGUUGCAAAGAAAGCUACAACAUCUUGGUGUACGAGUAUAUAUGCAACAACUCUCUUGAGUGGCAUUUAUUUGACAAGGCAGCUGGCUUACUGGAGUGGCACAAGAGGCAUGCUAUUGCCCUUGGUAUAGCAAAGGGGCUGCGCUUCCUGCAUGAAGAGUGUCGUGCCGGUCCAAUAAUUCACCGGGAUUUGCGCCCAAGCAAUGUACUGCUGACACAUGACUUUGUUCCUAUGCUUGGGGAUUUCGGUCUUGCUAAAUGGAAGGCUGUCAAUGCAUCUAUUCAUACAAGGGUUCUGGGGCAAUCAGGGUACUUGGCGCCUGAGUAUGCUGAAUAUGGCAUAGUUUCUGUCAGAACAGAUGUGUAUGCCUUUGGGAUCGUUCUUUUCCAGCUGAUAUCGGGUCGCAAGGUGCUCGAGGAACAUGAAGGACAGUGCACACACAUACUGCAAUGGGCAGAGCCUUUGGUCGAGAGUCUUGCACUGCACGAUCUAAUCGACGAGCGCAUUGCAGAUACAUACGACACGUAUGGGCUGUAUCAUCUAGCCAGAGCAGCGUAUCUCUGUGUCAGGACAAACCCGGAACAGCGGCCUUCAAUGGGGGAGGUUGUCCGUCUUAUCGAGACAGAGAAUGAGCAUAUCAGGGAUUUGUCCCGACAAUUCAUCCCACAUUUCACCAAGUAA
RNAcentral lists this ribosomal RNA (2088 nucleotides) under Triticum aestivum (bread wheat). Its description in RNAcentral is "partial small subunit ribosomal RNA". Lineage: Eukaryota; Viridiplantae; Streptophyta; Magnoliopsida; Poales; Poaceae. The record is from RNAcentral.